RNAcentral lists this ribosomal RNA (303 nucleotides) under uncultured bacterium. RNAcentral's name for it is "partial 16S ribosomal RNA". It matches the Rfam family "Bacterial small subunit ribosomal RNA", at positions 507 to 809 of the family's 1533-position model. The record is from RNAcentral.
AGCAGCAGCCGCGGUAAUACAGAGGGUGCGAGCGUUAAUCGGAUUUACUGGGCGUAAAGCGCACGUAGGCGGCUUGGUAAGUUAGAGGUGAAAGCCCGGAGCUCAACUCCGGAAUUGCCUUUAAGACUGCCGAGCUAGCAGGUGAGAGAGGUGAGUGGAAUUCCGAGUGUAGAGGUGAAAUUCGUAGAUAUUCGGAAGAACACCAGUGGCGAAGGCGGCUCACUGGCUCAUACUGGACGCUGAGGUGCGAAAGCGUGGGGAGCAAACAGGAUUAGAUACCCCCGUAGUCCCUGUCUCUUAUAA